GAUCAAGUGUCUUAAGGGCAAUUGGUGGAUGCCUUGGCAUGCACAGGCGAUGAAGGACGUGAUACGCUGCGAUAAGCUACGGGGAGGUGCGAAUACCCUUUGAUCCGUAGAUUUCCGAAUGGGGAAACCCACCUAAGGUACUUGGAAAAUCAGAGCAGCCGGAAGGUCGCAAGGCCGACUUGCUGCUGUGGUUUCCAAGUAUCGAUAAUAGGUAACUUACCCUGAAUACAUAGGGGUAAAGUGGCGAACGCGGGGAACUGAAACAUCUAAGUACCCGUAGGAAAGGACAUCAACCGAGACUCCGGAAGUAGUGGCGAGCGAACCCGGACCAGGCCAGUGGCGAUUGAGAGACAAGCGGAACCUUCUGGAAAGUAGGGCCAUAGUGGGUGACAGCCCCGUACGCGUAAUGCAAUCAAUCGUCCUCGAGUAAGGCGGGACACGUGAAAUCCUGUCUGAAAUUGGGGGACCACCCUCCAAGCCUAAGUACUCGUGCAUGACCGAUAGCGAACUAGUACCGUGAGGGAAAGGUGAAAAGCACCCCGACAAGGGGAGUGAAAGAGUACCUGAAACCGGUUGCCUACAAACAGUGGAAGCCCAAGGUUCGUCCUGGGUGACCACGUACCUUUUGUAUAAUGGGUCAGCGACUUAGUGUGACGAGCAAGCUUAAACCGCUAGGUGUAGGCGCAGCGAAAGCGAGUCUGAAUAGGGCGUUCAGUUCGUCGCAUUAGACCCGAAACCGAGUGAUCUAGCCAUGAGCAGGUUGAAGGUAAGGUAACACUUACUGGAGGACCGAACCCAUAACUGUUGCAAUAGUUCGGGAUGACUUGUGGCUAGGGGUGAAAGGCCAAUCAAACUCGGAAAUAGCUGGUUCUCCGCGAAAUCUAUUUAGGUAGAGCGUCGACCGAAUACCCCAGGGGGUAGAGCACUGGAUGGGCUAGGGGUCCUCACCGGAUUACCAAACCUAACCAAACUCCGAAUACCUGGGAGUACUAGUCGGCAGACACACGGCGGGUGCUAACGUCCGUCGUGAAAAGGGAAACAACCCUGACCUACAGCUAAGGUCCCCAAGUUAUGGCUAAGUGGGAAAGGAUGUGAGGAUCCCAAAACAACCAGGAUGUUGGCUUAGAAGCAGCCAUCAUUUAAAGAAAGCGUAACAGCUCACUGGUCUAAAUAAGGGUCUUUGCGCCGAAAAUGUAACGGGGCUAAAGCCAUACACCGAAGCUUAGGGUUUGGUCCGCAAGGGCCAAGCGGUAGCGGAGCGUUCUGUAAGCUGAUGAAGCCAUACCCGUGAGGGGUGGUGGAGGUAUCAGAAGUGCGAAUGCUGACAUGAGUAACGUAAGGGGAGUGAGAGACUCCCCCGCCGAAAGACCAAGGGUUCCUGCUUAAAGCUAAUCUGAGCAGGGUUAGCCGGCCCCUAAGACGAGGCGGAAACGCGUAGUCGAUGGGAACCACGUUAAUAUUCGUGGGCUUGGAGGUAGUGACGGAUCAUUGAGGUAGUCCAAUCUUAUCGGAUUGAACGGGCUGCUGCGUGGUUCCAGGAAAUAGCUCCUCCUUAUAAACCGUACCCGAAACCGACACUGGUGGUCUGGUAGAGUAUACCAAGGCGCUUGAGAGAACUAUGCUGAAGGAACUCGGCAAAUUGCACGCGUAACUUCGGAAGAAGCGUGACCCUUUUCUACGCAAGUAGAGGAGGGUGGCACAGACCAGGGGGUAGCGACUGUUUAUCAAAAACACAGGGCUCUGCGAAGUCGCAAGACGACGUAUAGGGUCUGACGCCUGCCCGGUGCUGGAAGGUUAAGAGGAGGGGUGCAAGCUCUGAAUCGAAGCCCCAGUAAACGGCGGCCGUAACUAUAACGGUCCUAAGGUAGCGAAAUUCCUUGUCGGGUAAGUUCCGACCUGCACGAAUGGCGUAACGACUUCCCCGCUGUCUCCAGCAUAGACUCAGUGAAAUUGAAUUCCCCGUGAAGAUGCGGGGUUCCUGCGGUUAGACGGAAAGACCCCGUGCACCUUUACUAUAGCUUUACAUUGGCAUUCGUAGUGGCAUGUGUAGGAUAGGUGGUAGGCUUUGAAACCUGGGCGCCAGCUCAGGUGGAGCCACCCUUGAAAUACCACCCUUAUUACUAUGGAUGUCUAACCGCGGCCCGUUAUCCGGGUCCGGGACAAUGUAUGGUGGGUAGUUUGACUGGGGCGGUCGCCUCCUAAAGAGUAACGGAGGCGCGCGAUGGUGGGCUCAGAACGGUCGGAAAUCGUUCGCUGAGUGCAAUGGCAUAAGCCUGCCUGACUGCGAGACUGACAAGUCGAGCAGAGACGAAAGUCGGUCAUAGUGAUCCGGUGGUCCCGCGUGGAAGGGCCAUCGCUCAACGGAUAAAAGGUACGCCGGGGAUAACAGGCUGAUGACCCCCAAGAGUCCAUAUCGACGGGGUUGUUUGGCACCUCGAUGUCGACUCAUCGCAUCCUGGGGCUGGAGCAGGUCCCAAGGGUAUGGCUGUUCGCCAUUUAAAGCGGUACGUGAGUUGGGUUCAGAACGUCGUGAGACAGUUCGGUCCCUAUCUGCCGUGGGUGUAGGAAUAUUGAAAGGAUCUGUCCCUAGUACGAGAGGACCGGGAUGGACGGAUCUCUGGUGGACCUGUUGUGGCGCCAGCCGCAUAGCAGGGUAGCUAUAUCCGGACGGGAUAACCGCUGAAGGCAUCUAAGCGGGAAACCCACCUUAAAACGAGUAUUCCCUGAGAACCGUGGAAGACGACCACGUUGAUAGGCCGGGUGUGGAAGAGCGGCAACGCUUGAAGCUUACCGGUACUAAUAGUUCGAUCGGCUUGAUCGUUCUCAUU
RNAcentral lists this ribosomal RNA (2828 nucleotides) under Mesorhizobium loti. Its description in RNAcentral is "23S ribosomal RNA". It matches the Rfam family "Bacterial large subunit ribosomal RNA". The record is from RNAcentral. Lineage: Bacteria; Pseudomonadati; Pseudomonadota; Alphaproteobacteria; Hyphomicrobiales; Phyllobacteriaceae.